RNAcentral lists this ribosomal RNA (277 nucleotides) under uncultured Prevotella sp. RNAcentral's name for it is "partial 16S ribosomal RNA". It matches the Rfam family "Bacterial small subunit ribosomal RNA", at positions 79 to 354 of the family's 1533-position model. Lineage: Bacteria; Pseudomonadati; Bacteroidota; Bacteroidia; Bacteroidales; Prevotellaceae. The record is from RNAcentral.
CUUUCCUUGAUGACGACUGGCGCACGGGUGAGUAACGCGUAUCCAACCUUCCCAUAACUACGGGAUAACCCGUUGAAAGACGGCCUAAUACCGUAUGAUAUCGUUUGCUGACAUCAAAUAACGAUUAAAGGUUUAGCGGUUAUGGAUGGGGAUGCGUCUGAUUAGCUUGUUGGCGGGGUAACGGCCCACCAAGGCUACGAUCAGUAGGGGUUCUGAGAGGAAGGUCCCCCACAUUGGAACUGAGACACGGUCCAAACUCCUACGGGAGGCAGCAGGG